GCUUGCUCUCGGGUGACGAGCGGCGGACGGGUGAGUAAUGUCUGGGAAACUGCCUGAUGGAGGGGGAUAACUACUGGAAACGGUAGCUAAUACCGCAUAACGUCGCAAGACCAAAGUGGGGGACCUUCGGGCCUCAUGCCAUCAGAUGUGCCCAGAUGGGAUUAGCUAGUAGGUGGGGUAAUGGCUCACCUAGGCGACGAUCCCUAGCUGGUCUGAGAGGAUGACCAGCCACACUGGAACUGAGACACGGUCCAGACUCCUACGGGAGGCAGCAGUGGGGAAUAUUGCACAAUGGGCGCAAGCCUGAUGCAGCCAUGCCGCGUGUAUGAAGAAGGCCUUCGGGUUGUAAAGUACUUUCAGCGAGGAGGAAGGCGUUAAGGUUAAUAACCUUGGCGAUUGACGUUACUCGCAGAAGAAGCACCGGCUAACUCCGUGCCAGCAGCCGCGGUAAUACGGAGGGUGCAAGCGUUAAUCGGAAUUACUGGGCGUAAAGCGCACGCAGGCGGUCUGUCAAGUCGGAUGUGAAAUCCCCGGGCUCAACCUGGGAACUGCAUUCGAAACUGGCAGGCUAGAGUCUUGUAGAGGGGGGUAGAAUUCCAGGUGUAGCGGUGAAAUGCGUAGAGAUCUGGGAGGAAUACCGGUGGCGAAGGCGGCCCCCUGGACAAAGACUGACGCUCAGUGCGAAGCGUGGGGAGCAAAC
RNAcentral lists this ribosomal RNA (700 nucleotides) under Klebsiella aerogenes. RNAcentral's name for it is "bacterial SSU rRNA". It matches the Rfam family "Bacterial small subunit ribosomal RNA", at positions 74 to 773 of the family's 1533-position model. Lineage: Bacteria; Pseudomonadati; Pseudomonadota; Gammaproteobacteria; Enterobacterales; Enterobacteriaceae. The record is from RNAcentral.